RNAcentral lists this transfer RNA (73 nucleotides) under Psychrobacillus sp. FJAT-21963. It matches the Rfam family "tRNA". From Rfam's summary of the family: Transfer RNA (tRNA) molecules are approximately 80 nucleotides in length. The record is from Rfam by way of RNAcentral. RNAcentral also lists the same sequence under 2 other names. Lineage: Bacteria; Bacillati; Bacillota; Bacilli; Caryophanales; Bacillaceae.
GCCGGAAUAGCUCAAUUGGUAGAGCAACUGACUUGUAAUCAGUAGGUUGGGGGUUCAAGUCCUCUUUCCGGCA